RNAcentral lists this ribosomal RNA (744 nucleotides) under Nephila pilipes (giant wood spider). RNAcentral's name for it is "bacterial SSU rRNA". It matches the Rfam family "Eukaryotic small subunit ribosomal RNA", at positions 1177 to 1825 of the family's 1831-position model. The record is from RNAcentral. Lineage: Eukaryota; Metazoa; Arthropoda; Arachnida; Araneae; Nephilidae.
UGGAGCCUGCAGCUUAAUUUGAUUCAAUGUAGAAAAAUUGGUUCGGGUCCGGACAAGGGGAAGAUUGACAAAUUAAGACGUCUUUUCUGAUUCAAUGGGCGGCGUAAGACCGUUUUUAGUUCAUGGAAAAAGAUUUGUCUGGUUAGUCCCGAUAAAGAAAGGGCUCUAAAUUGAUGUUUUUCGAUCGUAUCGAUGGCACAUUCUUCUUAGAGGACCAGAGAGGUCCUCAGUCGCAAAUGUGAUUAUUUAUUAACGUCACACUGAGAAGAAACCUGAGGUUUGUUGGUGACGGACUUCAUAAUUUUGAGCUUCGGUUAAGUAAUGAGGACGAUAUCUAAGCUGCAUCACCUCUCCAAACUUUCACAUCCCGCCAGUGUAGGUAUUUAAUGCCCUUAAGGUCCAGAGCCAUCUGCACACUAUAUUGAAGAGAUCAAUUGGUGCUUUCCCUGAUCUAAAAGACUGGGUAUCCAGUCAAAAUUCUUUCGUACUGGGAAAUAGGGUAAUGUAAUUUCCCCCUUGAACAAUGAAUUUUCAAUACACAUGUCUCAUAAGCUCGUGUUAACCAAGUACCAGCACUUUAUACACAUUAUACGUAGUUACUGCCGAUUGAUUUUGACAGGUUUUGAAACUGGCGCUUUAAUUUCUUCCUUUGUUAAUUGAGCCGAGGUGCUGUAAAGAUGGUCGAACUUGGUUAUUUAGUGGCAGUAAAGUCAUAAGAUUUUCGUGGGUGAACCUGUGGAAGGA